Long non-coding RNA from Salmo trutta (river trout), 375 nucleotides. Lineage: Eukaryota; Metazoa; Chordata; Actinopteri; Salmoniformes; Salmonidae. The record is from Ensembl.
GAGCCACUUUAUAAUCUGAGUCUCUGUGUCUGUGCUCUCUCUGUCUCCCUUUCUCUCUCUGUCUGUCAGGCCAGAACAUAUGACCAGGGAGGUGUGGGACUUCAUCUUCUUUAAGAGCUCUCCCUUCCCCCAAGAUGAAGAUCCCCAAGGAACAUCUGUAGAGGCUGAGGAGGGAGUUUGAGUACUUGUACACCAUGGAUGCCCGUGUGUCUGGGAAGGACCUGGUGCCCAAUCAAUUGUACAACCAUGUGGCCGUGUUGGCCAAAGACAGAUGGCAACAUCUUCACUCUGAGUAUCGCCAUCUCCAAGUUCUCUGCUGACGGUAAGUAGGGCCCUAUAAGCCUUCCAGCCUCUUAACUCAACAUCUCCUAAUUA